Pezoporus flaviventris is the source of this 3994-nucleotide long non-coding RNA. RefSeq lists it as uncharacterized. NCBI's taxonomy places the organism in Eukaryota, Metazoa, Chordata, Aves, Psittaciformes, Psittacidae. The record is from RefSeq and is a predicted model, not a curated record. The transcript is spliced from 2 exons.
GAACGUAUCUUUUACCACUGUUGGUGUGCUUUCUUAAAGCGUGUCAUUGAGACAUACCCCUGCGACUUGAAGUCAGGAUGUAUGUGUUAGCAUCACUACUUUCUUUUCUCCUCACAUGAAAUCCCCCAAAAAGUCGGUAAGACUGUAAUAACACAGGAAAAUUCAGCCCAUGAAGUACAGUAGACUGUUGCAGGAGCCAAGAUCAUUGCAAAGAUUUUCCAUCUUUGGACCUUUGCCCAGUAUCUUGCAGAACCUGCUCGUUCCAGUAUCUUACAGAGCCUACUUGAGGUCUUGAUUAUUUGUAACUUCUCCCUCCAUUUCUCCCACUGGGCAAAAACUUCCGCAUGUCUAAUUCUGGCUUGGAAAGGUGGUGCAGGACUCCUGCAGUUUCUGGGGAUGGACGUUAGGAGCUACUAUGGAGGGCAUUGCUGACAGCUGAGAAACCACCUCUCAUCCAUGGUGCGCUGCUGUACGUACUGACUGCCUCUAAUUCAUUUUUUUAACACAGGGGAAUGAGAAAGAGCAGUUGAAAAAUCAUCUGAGCAGUGGGGACUAUACAGGAAGUAACCUGGGGAAGAACAAAAAAAUGGGGGCUGGUGUAGGAGCAGAAAGGGACUGUCAACCAGCAAAAGCUAGGAAUAAAACAUGAAGUAGGUUAGGGUAAAGAAUGCCAACACUUGGUGCAAGGCAAAAUACAGGAAAGAUGCAGAUGGCCCUGUACAGAAUCUAGGGUAAAACCCAGGAGUUUUAAAACUUGGCAUUACAGUGCUGUUCAGCAAAAAGCUGCACACUCAAGGAUCUCACCAUUUCAUAUUUACUCUAUUCCCCCUCUAGUGGCUGAUUCCCACAGAAAAUGCAAUGCUUCUUACACCAUUUGUUCUGUUAAUGUAGUUAAUUUGUUCUGUUAAUGUGAAUCAAAAAAUCCAGAUUUGCCAUAAUCUACAUAAGAUGUAAUUUCCAAAUUUCUUUUUCUUAAGGGGGAAAUUAUGUUUAAAUCUACAAUAAACUAACACUUAGAUUAUAAAAAAAGGCUUCAGGAUUUGGGAUACGUAUUAUUAAGGUUGAUUCUUAAAGCCUUUGUUCUUUCUUUUUUUUUUUUCAUGGAAUAUUUGGUUGAUUCAUUGAACAGAGUAGUAGGGUGCCUGGAGGGAAAAAACAGGACUAUGAACAAACCAGUCCUCUGCAGACCUUCUGUCUUGCUUCUUAAAAAAAGUCAAAAACUGAUGGAUGAGGCAAGUACCAUAGAGAGACAGUAGUGGUCAGGUGGCUAGGAGAACAAAUGUUGCCACAGACCAUCAGACCCUGUUCUCCUUGCUGUUAGAGGGUUUCUGGGUGAUACUAAGUCAUUCACUGAAAUACCUGCAGAAAGCCGAAAUGAAUUUUUUGCUUUCUGGGCUCCUUCUCAAGACACAUGUGAUUUAACUUGCAGAAAUAUGCAGAACUGGUAUUUGCAACUGAGGCCAAUGAAAGCAAUGAGCUUAGACCUUCCCUCACAAGGAUCCUUUACACAAAAAAACUGUACUGUUUGUAAUUAAUAAACUAAUUUCUUAGAACAUCAUUGAACUGUAAGGAAAUUAACUGUUCUUCUGUUGGUUCACUGUUUCAGUGGUGUAUAUGGAGUAGCAUGAGAGGUCACAACUUAGGAUUACAAUAAAACUGUAUUUUGGAUCAUAGUAGUUUCAGAAUCAUAGUAAAGCAGUGAAGAAACCUGGGCCCAAACUCAGAGUGGUAUUUGGUCUUGCACUUUAAAGCUGCAUCAUGAUGUGUAUUUGUUUGAGGGGGCAAAUACAGGUUUCUAUAAAACUGUGUCAUGAUAUAUAUAUAUAUGGACCAAUUUGGGUUUUGUAGGCAACAUUGUGACAUGUUGUUUUCACAGGUUCUGAUUGUGUGACUCUUCCUAUUAUUGUGGUCACAAAUUUUUUUUAGGUGACACUUAAGAUUAGACAAUACCUGUUUAGAUACAGGCUUAGUUCUGUUGCAUUAGAUACAUGUAGUACUCUAUCUUCUAGGAUACACUAUAGAAGGUGGACAUGGCAAAGUUGCCAACAUUUUUUAUUGUUAUGUGUCAAGAAUUUCAUUUUGUGAUGAAUGCAAUCUUCUUGUUUUACCUUCAGUAUUAUGACUAUGUUUUUGUUGCCCAUUUAGGGACAGAUGGGAACCUGAGUACUGUGGCUGAGACAAACUUAUGCAGAAGUGCAGUACCAGAUCUGUAGUCAUAUGAAGAAGUUUCAUCUUAAAUACAGACAUGUCUUAAGCUGAGUAGAUUUUCUUUUAGAUCUCAGUUUUGGAUUUGGGCACUUAAAGUUUGUCUAAUCCCUUCCUUAGAUGACAAAUUAUUUUUCUGGAUCUAGCCUCUAAUAGCAAACAGAGGAAACUAGGUUUUCCAUAGUUACUUCCUUAGUGACCAGGCUGCUGUUAUCUAAAUUACAUUUUCUAUUACAGACUACAGAAACCUUAUCUCUAGCUGUUAAGGAACUGUACAGUCAAGUAAACUCCGUAAGUGAAGGAAUCUACCAUCCAAACAAGGAAGAAAAUACAGAAAUAUUGUAUGGGUCUAAUGUUUACCAUUUUCCAACUGCAUGCUACUCGUAAGAGUGCAUAAAUAUACAAUUAUUGUUAUUAAUAAUAUUGUAAAAAAAAAAUCUAAAAAUAUUUACUGGCAAGGGUUUGUUUCCACACCAGGUCAAUGAAUGUUAAAUAAUGAGAUUGAGAAAUACUAUGUCUGUUUUAAAAUUUAUAUAACUUCUAUGUACAUAAAUAUGCAUUUAGUUCUUAGGGACAAAUUAUUUUGGUCAGGGUAUUGUAAAUUUAUUGUCAUGAUAUAAAACCAUUACUAUUGGAUUGGACAAGUCAUCGAUAGUUGCUUAUCUGAAAACUGUAACUAGCCUCAGAAAUUUUGUAGUGAUAUAAGAAUUUGGCAAACUUUGCAGUUCAUCUUCAAGAAACAGGUUUUUCUCAUUUUAUUCUUGAAUUAAAUGCUUACACAUUAAUGUCCCAUCUUUUGUAGCAACAGUUGCAAUAUGAGAAAAGGAGACAGUUUCUUAGGUCCAUAACAUACGGUAUUUGAUAGGUAGUUGUAUUUGUGAGUAUGUUAGAGAGGGGUAGAAUAUUUUUCAUUUGCCUGAGAUAUUUCUUAAUGGAAAUGGAACUCAGUGUGUUCCACUGAGUAUUGAAAAACAGUUGUGGUUAUUCAGAAAUUUUUAUUUCUUCUGAGGUUCCUUUGUAUACUAAGCUUUUUGUGAGUGUUUUUUUAAUUAUACAAAAAUGACUGAGGUAAUAGCACAUGCAUAUAUACAUGAUAUUAGAAUGGGGAGAACUUGCAAGGUAUAGUAAUUAUGAGUAGUACAUUUUGAUGUACAUUCUUAUAGGACAAGUUAGAACUACAGGAUCCCUUUCACCAAGUGCUGACUGACACCCCCUUACAAUCUUUUUCAUGAGCCAUAUGUCUUAAGCUGUGUAAAGGAUGUUUGCCUUGAACGUAAUUUUUCAUAAUGGAUGGCCUGUUUUCCCACCAUCUGUAACAAAGCCCUUUUCUGUUGGAGAACCUUGAACUGAACAGUCUUGCCUUAAUCUUAGAUUGGCUGGGUCAAAACAGCUGGAUUUUGAGAAGCACAACAAAUGUUAAUUUAAUGAGAAUGGCAUGACAAAAAUAAAAAGAUAUCUUCAGUAGUCUGAAAGUAAGCUGUGACAAGCCACAUGUUGUUAACUGGCUGAAUGUGUGUAAAAGCACAUGAAAGUUUACUGAAAUUAUUACAGAACAAUCAUUUCUAUAACAAGAAGCACUCAAAUCAAAGUUUUGAAUAACAAAAAAAAAAAAAUUGGUGUUGGACAAGCUUGUUUGUUCAUGAUGCAUCUAGCCAUUACACAAUGCAUCAAUGUAUUUUUACAAAGCAAAAGAAUGCUUUCUUUGCUGAAUGCUAUCAGAUACCGGGUUUUUACUUGUACUCAUUCAUGUCUGUAAUUAUAUGGACAUUUUCUAAAAAAAGAACAAAAA